Topomyia yanbarensis is the source of this 2007-nucleotide long non-coding RNA. RefSeq lists it as uncharacterized. The record is from RefSeq and is a predicted model, not a curated record. The transcript is spliced from 3 exons. NCBI's taxonomy places the organism in Eukaryota, Metazoa, Arthropoda, Insecta, Diptera, Culicidae.
UACAACUCAUCAUUCUACCCACAUUGUUCAGUGGAUUCCACAACAGUCAGGUUCAAUAGAUUCGUUAGUCUGUUACAACGCGCAACUUCUACCGGGAAGCUUGACUAAAUUUGAAAGGAAAGAUGAAGAUCUUACUACCGUUGCUGCUGAUAGCUGGGUCUACCAUUGUUCAGGUUUUGUGUUUGGAGUGCUACUACUGUGAUAGUAUUACCGUAGAUCCUUCGACCGUGGAUUGUUUCGACAUUAAAUCACUAAAGACAGAAACCUGCCGUACUGGAACGGGUCAAACUGUGUGUGGCAUCCUGCAUUUAACAACCAGCACGGAGGAGGGAGUUCUCCGUGGAUGCGGGUCACCUGGAUCGUGCGCAUCGUAUGUUCCCCCACAGGGAGUAACCGUGAAACAUUGCAGCGAAUGCAAUACGGAUAAGUGCAAUGCAGCUUCCAUCGGCAGAGCUGGACUUGGACUUGUCGGCAGUCUGAUAAUUGGUUUGAUAGCUGCGAUUUUUAGAGAACGUUUCUAGUCUUGCAUUAUUUCAAGGAUGUGCGUCUGAAGAUCAGUGAGCUUGUCCUAGCUCGUGCUCGUUUGUUACUAAAGCAACCGCAAAUCUACGACAUACUUUGUUAAUUUAAGACUCCUGAACUAAUACACUCAAGUUUUUUUUUACGCGGUUUUUUUUGCGCGGUAUUUUUUUACGCGGUUUUUUUUUACGCGGAUUUUGAAAUUUACGCGGUUUUCAUUUACGCGGAUUUUGAAAUUUACGCGGUUUUCAUUUACGCGGAUUUUGAAAUUUACGCGGUUUUCAUUUACGCGGUUUUUGAAAUUUACGCGGUUUUCAUUUACGCGGAUUUUGAAAUUUACGCGGUAUCCAUCAAUGAGGUUCCCUUUAUUGCGGAUUCUUAAAUUUAAGUGGUCUUCAUUUACGCGGAUUUUGAAAUUUACGCGGUUUUCAUUUACGCGGAUUUUGAAAUUUACGCGGUUUUCAUUUACGCGGAUUUUGAAAUUUACGCGGUUUUCAUUUACGCGGUUUUCAUUUACGCGGUCUGUAUCCCCCGCGUAAAAAAAACCUGAGUGUAUAUCCUAAAUUAGUUUUUCGUUUGUUUGUAAUAUUGCACAACGUUUAAUUUCAUGAACCAGUAAUUAUAUUGUAUAUCGAACAUUCAGGUAAGAAUCAUUGAAAUCUGGUUAUAACUGCGUAAUGUUAGAAUUACGCCGUCGAUGAAACUCUUUACCUUUCCCAUAUUUUUAGUGUGUUCACUUGCUACUAAUACUACGAAGAUGAAAACGAACAUUCCGUAGAUAGUGACCGGAUUUCGAUAAUUUCGACCGCCGACAGUUUAUUUUUGGGCGACACGCCUCCAAUGUGAUAAAGUGCGCUUAUCUGGCCAAUAAUUGCUUAUGUUUAAUAGACAUUAUAAAUCGUUGGUAAUGUUAUCGGAUUGGGGCGAUUGAUGUCAUAUACCCGACAUUGAUUAGCAUUUGAAAAGGUUAAAUGAUUCAAGUAUAUUGAAUUGGCACCAGAUGACUGCAACGUUAUAAAACACAUCAUUUAUAGUUAGUAAUAAUUUUGUUUUUUUACAUUUCUUACAAAAGAAAUGUAUAGGAUUCGCUCAAACUAACCCUUCUAAAGUUUUUUCACAGACAGCUACGUGACGAAUGAAGAAAAUUUAAAGUCACGAAAAUAAAAAUAAAAAUUCACAGACAGCUGACUUCAUAGUGAAUUUUUUUCUAGAGUUCAUGUAUUGAUUCCUUCGAUUAGGCGUUGCGUUCAAACGCGAGGUAGAUGUUGGAGAGUAUAUUACGACACAGAUCUGCAAGUAAUCAACCUAAUAGUGAGAUAAUAGAUUUCCUCUAUAAUUAUACUCGUAGCAUCACCGAGAGUAACCGUAUUUUUGAAUCCCAAAAUCCUAGCGAAAAUUUGGCUUAUUUUGUCAGAUUUAGGUAUUACUGGUCAUGGCGCAAAAUUACUGGUUGCGUUAUGUAUAAUAAGGGUGUAAAGAAAUAAAUAU